RNAcentral lists this ribosomal RNA (330 nucleotides) under uncultured eukaryote. RNAcentral describes it as "partial 18S ribosomal RNA". It matches the Rfam family "Eukaryotic small subunit ribosomal RNA", at positions 1470 to 1796 of the family's 1831-position model. The record is from RNAcentral.
CCCUUAGAUGUUCUGGGCCGCACGCGCGCUACACUGAUGCAUUCAGCGAGUCUAAAACCUGGUCUGAUAGGGCUGGGUAAUCUUUUGAAAGUGCAUCGUGAUUGGGAUAGAUGAUUGCAAUUCUUCAUCUUCAACGAGGAAUGCCUAGUAAACGCAAGUCAUCAGCUUGCAUUGAUUACGUCCCUGCCCUUUGUACACACCGCCCGUCGCUCCUACCGAUUGAAUGAUCCGAUGAAUACCAUGGAUUGAGAGUACGAAUGGGUUCGCUCAUUUCUGCUGCUCGAGAAGUGGAGUAAAUCUUAUCAUUUAGAGGAAGGAGAAGUCGUAACA